RNAcentral lists this non-coding RNA (25 nucleotides) under Rattus norvegicus (Norway rat). Lineage: Eukaryota; Metazoa; Chordata; Mammalia; Rodentia; Muridae. The record is from RNAcentral.
GACAAGUGUGAGCCAUCUGGGAGGU